RNAcentral lists this ribosomal RNA (130 nucleotides) under Staphylococcus chromogenes. Its description in RNAcentral is "partial 23S ribosomal RNA". It matches the Rfam family "Bacterial large subunit ribosomal RNA", at positions 1 to 126 of the family's 2925-position model. Lineage: Bacteria; Bacillati; Bacillota; Bacilli; Caryophanales; Staphylococcaceae. The record is from RNAcentral.
AAAAGAUUAAGUUAUUAAGGGCGCACGGUGGAUGCCUUGGCACUAGAAGCCGAUGAAGGACGUUACUAACGACGAUAUGCUUUGGGGAGCUGUAAGUAAGCUGUGAUCCAGAGAUUUCCGAAUGGGGGAA